Molecule: ribosomal RNA, 752 nt
Filed under: uncultured bacterium
Lineage: Bacteria
Description: bacterial SSU rRNA
Rfam family: Bacterial small subunit ribosomal RNA
Source: RNAcentral
AGAGUUUGAUCAUGGCUCAGAAUCAACGCUGGCGGCGCGCUUAACACAUGCAAGUCGCACGAGAAAGGGAGCAAUCCUAAGUAAAGUGGCGCACGGGUGAGUAACACGUGGAUCAUCUACCUUUUAGUGGGGAAUACCUCUGGGAAACCGGAGACAAUACCGCAUAAGCCUGUAAAGGGAAAGCAGCAAUGCGCUGAAAGAGGAGUCCGCGGCCGAUUAGCUAGUUGGCGGGGUAAUGGCCCACCAAGGCGAAGAUCGGUAGCCGGCCUGAGAGGGCACACGGCCACACUGGCACUGAAACACGGGCCAGACUCCUACGGGAGGCAGCAGUGGGGAAUCUUGCACAAUGGGCGAAAGCCUGAUGCAGCGACGCCGCGUGAGCGAUGAAGCCCUUCGGGGUGUAAAGCUCUUUCGACGGGAACGAUAAUGACGGUACCCGGAGAAGAAGCUGCGGCUAACUACGUGCCAGCAGCCGCGGUAAUACGUAGGCAGCGAGCGUUGUUCGGAAUUACUGGGCGUAAAGAGUGUGUAGGCGGUGCUCCCAGUCUGUUGUGAAAUCUCCCGGCUUAACUGGGAGGGUGCAGCGGAAACUAGAGUGCUAGAGGGUGGGAGAGGUAAGCGGAAUUCCUGGUGUAGCGGUGAAAUGCGUAGAUAUCAGGAGGAACACCUGGUGUAGACAGCUUACUGGACCACUUCUGACGCUGAGACACGAAAGCGUGGGUAGCAAACAGGAUUAGAUACCCUAGUAGUCC